GUCGAAACAGAGGUUAAAAGUUUUAGAUUUUCGUCGUUUUUUUAUAUAAAUGAACCUAUUCAAAGAAGUCACUGCAUACCUCUGGAGCAGCUGAAAGAGAGUCCAUCAGUCCUGAGCCAGCUCACAAUCAAUGAUGCCUGUGCCACCAUCCAUCCUCCUGUGCCUCGCUGCUGCCUACGCCAGACCCAACCAAUGUUGAAGUCAUCAAUCCUCAGGAGCCAUCUUUCACCACUGUGCCGAUUCUCUUCCUCCGCACUGCUGCCUGUGCCAGACCAACCAACAUCAGUGUCAUGUCUCUCUCCAUUGGGCCGAGCUCACUGAUGUUGCACUGAUACCAUUCCACCUUCUGUCAUCACUUCACCGCCACCAGCGCCGGACCCAACCAAUGACAAAGUUAUCGAUUCUCAGGUACCAUCUUCCACCGCUGGGGCUGACUCACUGACAACACCUCCACUAAUGCAACAGCCACUGAUUCCAAUGCAAGUUCCUGUGGUGACUCUAGAAAAAUCAGUCAUGCCUCUACAAUCAUCUCUCCUUCAGAAACGAGGAACACCAAGGAAUAGAAUAGAUAGAGGACAGAAUUGCCUCUUUUGGAUUUGAUUUAUUAUUUCCUGGCUGAGUAGGGAAUGUCUGAAUCAAACUGUAUGGGAUCAGCCAGAUGGAUUUUCCUGCCGAACUUGUACACCCAGUUGCAAAACAGAGCUAAUCAGAAGUAAUCUUUUGACCUGGAUAACCUGAACUGAGAUACAUGUAUAACAACAAACUGCUUUGGUCUGGAGAAAACUAACUUGAUUUAUGUCUAAUGGAGAUACAUUAAAACAUAAGU
Hemiscyllium ocellatum (epaulette shark) is the source of this 826-nucleotide long non-coding RNA. RefSeq lists it as uncharacterized. The record is from RefSeq and is a predicted model, not a curated record. NCBI's taxonomy places the organism in Eukaryota, Metazoa, Chordata, Chondrichthyes, Orectolobiformes, Hemiscylliidae. The transcript has 3 exons.